UCUAGACUCAGUGGGUACCCGCAAAAAAAUCUAAAAUGCGUAGGUUAAAACCCGCAUAUUGUGUAUAGGGACAGGUAAUUAUCCGCAAAAUUGAACGAGUAUGAGUGUAAGUACGAGUACUAUAGAACCCUACCCAAAUCCUACCCAUUGUCAUCCCUAUACAUUCAGUGUUCUAUGUUUUUACAUUGGCAAUGUUGACAUGUUCGUGUCGGUCUCAAAGUCUUUGCUUCAUAGGUUAUAAUUCUAGAUAUAAAUAGUCUGUACUCCCUCUUAUGUUGGUGUUAGUAUGUGGUUUGUUUUGCAUCUAUCUUAUCUUGUUAAAGGGUUAGAUUAGCCUUAUACUCUUUAUCAAUAAAUUUUCUAUGUUCUUAAAAUAAAAACAUGGCAAUUGAUAAAAAAAAAAUGUUAUUACCUGAUAAAAAAACAGACAUAGUACAUCACAGUGCCUUUAUUUCCUGCGCUGGACCAACAUUCAUUAAAUAAUGUUAGAACAGGAUUGACAUAUAAACUCUGCAAACAAAUAUACAUACAUCAAGUAAUUAUCUUGUAUCGAUUACAUUUGUUGAGUUUACAAAAUGAAUGGAAAAAAAAAUCCAAUUGCAAUCAAAUAUUUAUGAAAUUGUAAGCUCUAGGAAUAAAAUUAUAAUUGAAACUAUCAGUUAUGAAUAUUACUCCCAAAAUUACACAAAUGCAAUAGCAAUUUGAGGUGCAACUCACACUUUGUUUCUAUUUUGAGUGAUGAAUAUUCUAUAUGAUUGAUCAAUAGACGAAAAAUGGUGUAAUGGGUGACGAUAUCCAAAGUAAUAAUCAAACCUAAAAUCAUUAGAAAUGCAUAAAACAGAGAACUGUGCCUUAUUCUUCUACGUCUAUAUAAAGUCAAAUAGAAAUAGAAUAGAGUGUUAAUAGACAAUACCUUUACGAUUUUGGUUCACAAAAAACUCUUCCACAACUUUGAUUGUGCAAACUGGUGUUGUUUCAAAGGAUAAAAUCUAUGUAUAUAAACAAGCGUAAGCCGUAUUAUUAGGCGAAGGAUAAACUUAAAGGAAAUGCAAGAGGAUGGAUAGAGGAAUUGAAGGGUUACAAUUACAAUGUGAGCAUUCGUUUUGAUGAGCAAGUUGCCGCUGUGUUUCUCAAGUUUCACCACUUCAGUCUUGCCACCAGUUU
Molecule: long non-coding RNA, 1164 nt
Filed under: Cicer arietinum (chickpea)
Lineage: Eukaryota; Viridiplantae; Streptophyta; Magnoliopsida; Fabales; Fabaceae
Description: long non-coding RNA (CARI_LNC001011)
Source: RNAcentral